RNAcentral lists this ribosomal RNA (497 nucleotides) under uncultured bacterium. RNAcentral's name for it is "partial 16S ribosomal RNA". It matches the Rfam family "Bacterial small subunit ribosomal RNA", at positions 28 to 507 of the family's 1533-position model. The record is from RNAcentral.
GAUGAACGCUGGCGGCGUGCCUAAUACAUGCAAGUCGAGCGAACGGACGAGAAGCUUGCUUCUCUGAUGUUAGCGGCGGACGGGUGAGUAACACGUGGAUAACCUACCUAUAAGACUGGGAUAACUUCGGGAAACCGGAGCUAAUACCGGAUAAUAUUUUGAACCGCAUGGUUCAAAAGUGAAAGACGGUCUUGCUGUCACUUAUAGAUGGAUCCGCGCUGCAUUAGCUAGUUGGUAAGGUAACGGCUUACCAAGGCAACGAUGCAUAGCCGACCUGAGAGGGGGAUCGGCCACACUGGAACUGGAACACGGUCCAGAGUCCUACGGGAGGCAGCAGUAGGGAAUCUUCCGCAAUGGGCGAAAGCCUGACGGAGCAACGCCGCGUGAGUGAUGAAGGUCUUCGGAUCGUAAAACUCUGUUAUUAGUGAAGAACAUAUGUGUAAGUAACUGUGCACAUCUUGACGGUACCUAAUCAGAAAGCCACGGCUAACUACGUG